UUCAGGCUGCUUGAGCACUACCUGUCCUGAGCUCCUUGUGUGGUGUUGUGCAACUAACUGCACCUUCUUUCACCAUAAGCCCCACGUUAUUAGAUUGGCUUUACUGGUGUGAGCAAUCGGACCGAGUUUGGUUCAGGAAAAACAACAGGGGAGAGACAGUGUCUGGAGGCCCCACACCUGCUAAUUAAUCUGCAUAAGCAGAGAAGGUCAUGAUGGUGUUUCUGUAAUGGCAUCUUCAUAAGAUGAGAGAAAGUCAAGAAGAGAGGAAUUUGACCAUUACUCCCGGAAAUAUUCCGAAGUGUCCCUUAAUGAGGGUUGGGAUUUGACUCUUCAGGAGUUAAAUAGGUGACAGGAGCCUGAGGCCAGGGACUAGUCACUGCUGUACGCCUCAACCUAGGACUGGACAGCUCAUGUCUCAAACACACUGGUGGCUCAAUAUAUAUUUGUUAAAUCAAUGAAAUUUUUCUUUGUUAACCAACUUAGUAAGCCUUUUUGAACUGAAAAUGAACUAUGUAUUGAAACUACCAAGUUUAUAAAGGCUUAAUAGAAUUGCUUUAUAAUUGUAUUUUAGAUAAGACCUAAACUAUGAAAGCGAUGCUUUCCAAAAACUUGUAUUUUUCCACAAAAUGCUAUAUUCUGGUGUUCUGAAAAAGAUCUCUGUAAAUGAUAAUCUUCAACAAAAGUUCUUAGAUAUGAAGCCUGUCUUUAUGACACCUGUCCUACAAUACCAUCAAUAAC
Long non-coding RNA from Sus scrofa (pig), 738 nucleotides. RefSeq lists it as uncharacterized. NCBI's taxonomy places the organism in Eukaryota, Metazoa, Chordata, Mammalia, Artiodactyla, Suidae. The record is from RefSeq and is a predicted model, not a curated record.